GGGUCAGUAGGUUGGUCGUGCCACCGGUACGUACUGGUCUCAGUGAUUCCUCCUUCCUGAAGAACCGUAAUGCCAUUAAUUUGGUGUUGCGGGGAAACAGGACUGUUACUUUGAAAAAAUUAGAGUGUUUAAAGCAAGCUAACGCUUGAUUACAUUAGCAUGGAAUAAUGAAAUAGGACGAUCGAUCCUAUUUUGUUGGUUUCUAGGAUUGACGUA
Molecule: ribosomal RNA, 216 nt
Filed under: Glomeromycotina sp.
Lineage: Eukaryota; Fungi; Glomeromycota
Description: partial small subunit ribosomal RNA
Rfam family: Eukaryotic small subunit ribosomal RNA (bases 44-216)
Source: RNAcentral